Molecule: ribosomal RNA, 467 nt
Filed under: uncultured bacterium
Lineage: Bacteria
Description: partial 16S ribosomal RNA
Rfam family: Bacterial small subunit ribosomal RNA
Source: RNAcentral
GACGAACGCUGGCGGCGUGCUUAACACAUGCAAGUCGAACGGAAAGGCCCUGCUUUUGUGGGGUGCUCGAGUGGCGAACGGGUGAGUAACACGUGAGUAACCUGCCCUUGACUUUGGGAUAACUUCAGGAAACUGGGGCUAAUACCGGAUAGGAGCUCCUGCUGCAUGGUGGGGGUUGGAAAGUUUCGGCGGUUGGGGAUGGACUCGCGGCUUAUCAGCUUGUUGGUGGGGUAGUGGCUUACCAAGGCUUUGACGGGUAGCCGGCCUGAGAGGGUGACCGGCCACAUUGGGACGGAGAUACGGCCCAGACUCCUACGGGAGGCAGCAGUGGGGAAUAUUGCACAAUGGGCGGAAGCCUGAUGCAGCAACGCCGCGUGCGGGAUGACGGCCUUCGGGUUGUAAACCGCUUUCGCCUGUGACGAAGCGUGAGUGACGGUAAUGGGGAAAGAAGCACCGGCUAACUACGG